CCCCUAGAUGUUCUGGGCCGCACGCGCGCUACACUGAACAGUUCAACAAGUCUUAACCUUGGCCGAUAGGUCUGGGUAAUCUUUGAACGCUGUUCGUGACUGGGAUAGACCUUUGCAAUUAUGGGUCUUCAACGAGGAAUUCCUAGUAAACGCAAGUCAUCAGCUUGCAUUGAUUACGUCCCUGCCCUUUGUACACACCGCCCGUCGCACCUACCGAUUGAAUGGUCCGGUGAAAUCUCGGGACGGCGGCUUGGUCGCUUGCGUCCGACUGCUGAAACUUGAUUAAACCAUAUCAUUUAGAGGUAGGUGAAGUCGUAACA
RNAcentral lists this ribosomal RNA (320 nucleotides) under uncultured eukaryote. RNAcentral describes it as "partial 18S ribosomal RNA". It matches the Rfam family "Eukaryotic small subunit ribosomal RNA", at positions 1470 to 1796 of the family's 1831-position model. The record is from RNAcentral.